UAGACCAAGCUUCCUCUCACACCAGAGCUGCUGUGGCAGAUGCUUCUACAAUGGCUCCCGGGGCCCCUCAUCCCCUGUCUGCUCACCUGUGUGACCCCUGCCCCUUGAGCGUGGGCUGGCCCUUGUGACUUGCAUCUGAUGAACAGAAACGGCAAACGGGAUGGGAGGUCACUUCUGAGAUUAGGUGACAGAAGAAUCAGAUUCCAUGUCGCCCGCCCCUCUGUUGAAACAGGCUGCAAUGCGGAGAGCUGCUCCAGGGAGAGGCCCACUCGGGGAGGACCUGAGGGCGCCCGGGGGGAACUGAAUCCUGCAACAGCCGCGGGAGUGAACUCGGAUCCUUCCCCGAUCGAGCCUUCAGAUGAGGACAACCCGGCAGCCUGUGAGAGACCCUGAGCCAGAGGACCAGCGGCGCCAUGACCACAACCCUGACCCUCAGAAACUGUGACACGAGGAGGACACAGAGACUCAGAGAGUUUGAAACUUGCCCGAGGUCCCACAGCUAAUGGAUGACAGUCUGGGCUUGGAACCCAAGUCCACCCCACAGCCAGUGCUGCUGACCAGGACACUGCACCACGUGGUUCUCUGGGGCUUUGACUCUGGAUACCAACCAUAAACAGUGGGAGAGAAAGGAGGUGAAUCUUGCAGAAUCCUUCCAGCGUGUGAAAACCAUCAUCAAAGGGCAUGCGGCGUGGAGAAAAGCACAGAGAACCACUGAUCGAAGACAUCCAUCCACGGAUGCGCAGACACUUGGAAAGCGCAUCAAUUUCCAAACUGGCGGCUCAAAAAACAGCCAAGUUGUAAAGAGCAGCUUCAAAACAAGACAGUGACUGUUCUACCAGAUUCUCCUUAUAUUUUGGUUUUAAGCCAAAACCCUCCAAUUAAGCAACCCUCAGAUUUCUACCCAAACAGAAACCGGCGCACACUUGUUGCCUGCUGACUAUGUGGAUACCCACCCCACACAGCGUGGAAGACGUCCCUGACCUCAGAAGGUUUACCAUCCGAUGGUGGAGGUGAGCUAUUCCAUUAAAGGGAAGUAGGAAUCGCUCAUGCCGCAACUCUCGUACCCUGUGCCCGUGGCAGACAUGACUAAUCAAUGAAAGCACAAGAAUUGAUACGCAAGAUGAAAGCUAUUGGUUCUUCCUGAUGCAUUCUUAUAAAAAGAGAAGUAAAUAGAGAAGGUAAUCUUAAAAGGCCAGGGGUCUGGACUUCUGCUACAGAAAACUUUAGGAGGAGCUCCUCAUCGUCAGUGAGAUCAGAGAAGGCUUCCUGGAGGAGGGGCUUCAGCCCAACCUUCAAGGAUAACUACGGAUAGGAGAGGCGGAGGCAUCUGGAACGGCGAGAAUGGCUACAGCGUGCAGAGGGGAGCACACUCGGGCCAUGGGGAGUCUGGCAAACUACCUGAAGUGACAGGUUGCAGUUGGAGAAAUGGAUCUGCAAAGGAAUGGUGAGGCCAGGCCUUGACAGGCCUCGACCGCCCUGCAAAAGAUUUUGAAUUCUAUUUUAUGAGCAGUACAGAGACUUGAUAGUUUGUGAAUAGGAGAAUGACAGUAUUUUCAGUAAAUCAAACCAGCAGGGGCGUGCAGGGGGACUGAAGUGGAGGAAACUCGAGGCUGGAAGACCACCGGAGACAUGGCGGGAGUAACCCAGGGGAGUGGAAGCGAGGGACCAGGCCAGGGCGUCCCCCGAAAGAUGGGAAAAUGAAAGCAGCCACGCCCGAGGCUUGUCCGAGGAAGAUUCCACAGCGCCCAGGGCAGAGCGACGCGCAGGAGACGGAAGAAUCCAGAGAAACGCAUCAAGGAAAAAUACUUCCACUAUCGCCUCUCACGUCUCCUUUCCAAAAAAGCAUAAUCCCUGAGAGCCGUGGGAUGUCCACACCACAGCAACGUUUGGGCCACAGGUGGAUUCUUCUGUGUGAUCUUCACGAUAGUCAGCAAGGGGAUUUCAAGGGACGGCCACUAAGGGCUCCCCUCGAGCUCUCCUCCCAGCUGUCAUUUUGGCAGACUCAAAGCGGGGGGUGUCACCCAGGGAAGGAGCUGGUCCUUCUUUUAAACAGGAUGCAAACUUAUUGGAUUUCCUUUCUGCAUCGCAUGGGCCAACAUUCCAACGGCCUACCAAACGCUGUCACAAAAAUACAACUGGACCACAGACGGUCAGUAAUGUCACAGUAUUUGGCUCCAAGUUACCAUAAAUGUCAAGUAUUUUCCCUCAGCUCAUUUCAAGCUUUCUGAAAUGAGAAUAACGAUUGAACCUUCCCACAGCAGGGGUGUCUGCUUGGCAAGUACCUAAAGCUUGGAGAUGCGCAGAGCACCACGCCAGAGGCUGGGUCACAUGAGAAAAUGAAAGCGGCUUCUAAACAAGCAAGCCUUGUGCAAGCAGAAGGCUUUACCGUCAUUGGCCCUGACCUGCGCCAAUCUGUACACACUCCCUGUGAUGCACAGACUCUCCCUUUAUUAUUCUUCAUUAUUAGGGUUGGUAAUAAUAGCUCAUGUUGAUAGAGUACCCUAUCAAUAAGGGUUUUGGCAGGAGCAGACGGCACAUUCAGACAAAGCCACUGAGGAGAGUUUCAUAAACAGAUAUUUACAAAGGUGCGUGGG
Molecule: long non-coding RNA, 2594 nt
Organism: Equus quagga
Lineage: Eukaryota; Metazoa; Chordata; Mammalia; Perissodactyla; Equidae
Exons: 3
Source: RefSeq, a predicted model, not a curated record